UAGUCAUAUAGGUCACCAUAGGUGACUCCGACUGGCGUGCUAGUAUGGGUUAUUAAGCACUUGAUUAUUUAUAUUGUUAAUGAGAUGAUGUGAUGUGGUAUACUUCUGGAUUUAAUGUUAGUAUACUUUUGGUUUCAUGUUUAUCCGUAGUAUGAUUUUCUGGAAUCUAAACAGGUAUUACGGCGAGGGAUUAUAUUGUUUAGAAGGUCUUUAUUUAAGAUUUGUUUUCUGGCCCACUCACUCUUGUUUGAUCCCUCCAGGUCUAGUAGUAGAGCUUUCGUAUUGACGAGGAUUCGUGGCAAGUCUUGGUAUUGGAGAUUACCUUCGAUGGUAUGAUUUUCAAUCCACUCUACUGCACUUUACUUAUGCUCUAACGUCACGUGUGAAGUGAGUUCAUUCCUGCUCACCAACGCACUCUGGUUUCUAGGCACUCUUAAGUUUAAAUUUAUUGACAUUUUUUUUUCACAUCAGCACACUUCAUGGUUUCGUCACCUUCCAGGUGUCGGCUAGCACAGCUCGAUUCGGAGUCCUAAUGGACAUUUUGGGUCGGAGUGUGUCAGGAAUCCCUUCCCUUAAAGGGCCUGUAUAUAUAUAUGCACAUUAGAACACAAGCAUUUUACUCUCCGAAACAUUUACAUAUUCAUAUACACAUAUAUACAUCAGUAGUAGAUUAUAUUAUAUAUACAUAUAUCAGAACAUAAUAAUUUCAUCACAAGAAUUUCA
RNAcentral lists this long non-coding RNA (723 nucleotides) under Malus domestica (apple). Its description in RNAcentral is "long non-coding RNA (MDOM_LNC015556)". Lineage: Eukaryota; Viridiplantae; Streptophyta; Magnoliopsida; Rosales; Rosaceae. The record is from RNAcentral.